This 467-nucleotide ribosomal RNA is filed under the name uncultured bacterium. RNAcentral describes it as "partial 16S ribosomal RNA". It matches the Rfam family "Bacterial small subunit ribosomal RNA", at positions 28 to 506 of the family's 1533-position model. The record is from RNAcentral.
GACGAACGCUGGCGGCGUGCUUAACACAUGCAAGUCGAACGGACAGGCCCUGCUUUUGUUGGGUGCUCGAGUGGCGAACGGGUGAGUAAAACAUGAGUAACAUGCCCUUGACUUUGGGAUAACUUCAGGGAACUGGGGCUAUUACCGGAUAGGAGCUCCUGCUGCAUGUUGUGGGUUGGAAAGUUUCGGCGUUUGGGUAUGUACUCGCGGCUUAUCAGCUUGUUGGUGUGGUAGUGUAUUACCAAGGCUUUGACGGUUAGCCGGCCUGGGAGGGUGACAGGCCCCAUUGGCCCUGGGAUACGGCCAAUACUCCAACGGGAGCAAGCAGUGGAGAAUAUUGCACACUGGGCGGAAGCAGGAUGGAGCAACGUCGGGUGGGGGAUCACUGCUUUCGGGUAGUAACAAGUUUUCGCCUGUGAAGACGCGUGAUUGCCGGAAAUGGGUAAAGAAGCACCGGCAACUUACUU